Molecule: ribosomal RNA, 430 nt
Filed under: Pseudomonadota bacterium
Lineage: Bacteria; Pseudomonadati; Pseudomonadota
Description: Proteobacteria bacterium partial 16S ribosomal RNA
Rfam family: Bacterial small subunit ribosomal RNA
Source: RNAcentral
UGGGGAAUAUUGGACAAUGGGGGGAACCCUGAUCCAGCCAUGCCGCGUGUGUGAAGAAGGACUUAUGGUUGUAAAGCACUUUAAGCGAGGAGGAGGGUACUGGUAUUAAUACUACCAGGUACUGGACGUUACUCGCAGAAUAAGCACCGGCUAACUCUGUGCCAGCAGCCGCGGUAAUACAGAGGGUGCGAGCGUUAAUCGGAUUUACUGGGCGUAAAGCGUGCGUAGGCGGCUAAUUGAGUCGGAUGUGAAAUCCCCGAGCUUAACUUGGGAAUUGCAUUCGAUACUGGUUAGCUAGGGUGUGGGAGAGGAUGGUAGAAUGCCAGGUGUAGCGGUGAAAUGCGUAGAGAUCUGGAGGAAUACCGAUGGCGAAGGCAGCCAUCUGGCCUAACACUGACGCUGAGGUACGAAAGCAUGGGGAGCAAACAGG